UAAAUCCGUGACUUAGUACAUUUGUAGCACUGGAUGAUUCUCUUCAACCUGUGUGAGAAGGUGCUGUUGUACCUGACGGUUUUCUUGCAGUAGGGAAUAUUAUGGAGCAAGAGACUGCUAAGUGAGACAAACCACAGUGUGGAGGCCAUUUACCACACAAGGAAAGAGCCUGGUUGCUCUAACAGGGCCUGGAGGAAACCAGGACUGCAUCUGGGGUGUGGUAAGGUGAUAAAUCUGAGCAUCCCUCCCACCCUUAAGGUUCCAGACCAACUCAUCAAAGCCAAAAGAGAAAAAGAAAUGGAUGGAGCAGCAGGUGAGGCAAUCUGCCUCCUUUCAGCCAAGAUCAUGAGAACGCUACUAGAUGCUACCAAGACCAGCAGUAAACCUGAGGCAGAGGCCACAGCAUCAUCACUACCAGACACACCUCGCCUGGGUCACCAGUGUUGA
RNAcentral lists this long non-coding RNA (447 nucleotides) under Anser brachyrhynchus (Pink-footed goose). Its description in RNAcentral is "lncRNA (ENSABRG00000010972.1)". Lineage: Eukaryota; Metazoa; Chordata; Aves; Anseriformes; Anatidae. The record is from RNAcentral.